GAUAAAGCUCAUGUCUAGACAGUAAGUGGCUUUGAGGGAGGACUUUGCAUGAAGCAGAAUGAAACCCUAUCCUUGUCACUGUAGUAAUAGUGAAGAAAGGACUGAUUGUCAAAUUCCAGAAAUUCUAAGCAAUAGUCAUUUGAUCCCAACUUCUUAGAAUUUUGCCCAGAUUUUCUUUUCUUGAGCUUGUUAUAAGCUCCAACAUGAAAUCUCUCUUUUCUGAGAUAUACAAUAACCAGAUUACCUUGCUGAAAUUCAACCUCUUUUCUGUGGAUAUCAGCAUGAGGCC
This 289-nucleotide long non-coding RNA is filed under the name Elaeis guineensis (African oil palm). RNAcentral describes it as "long non-coding RNA (EGUI_LNC038445)". Lineage: Eukaryota; Viridiplantae; Streptophyta; Magnoliopsida; Arecales; Arecaceae. The record is from RNAcentral.